GGGCGAAAGCCUGAUGGAGCAACGCCGCGUGAGUGAAGAAGGAUUUCGGUUCGUAAAACUCUGUUGUAAGGGAAGAACAAGUACAGUAGUAACUGGCUGUACCUUGACGGUACCUUAUUAGAAAGCCACGGCUAACUACGUGCCAGCAGCCGCGGUAAUACGUAGAUGGCAAGCGUUGUCCGGAAUUAUUGGGCGUAAAGCGCGCGCAGGUGGUUUCUUAAGUCUGAUGUGAAAGCCCACGGCUCAACCGUGGAGGGUCAUUGGAAACUGGGAGACUUGAGUGCAGAAGAGGAUAGUGGAAUUCCAAGUGUAGCGGUGAAAUGCGUAGAGAUUUGGAGGAACACCAGUGGCGAAGGCGACUAUCUGGUCUGUAACUGACACUGAGGCGCGAAAGCGUGGGGAGCAAACAGGAUUAGAUACCCUGGUAGUCCACGCCGUAAACGAUGAGUGCUAAGUGUUAGGGGGUUUCCGCCCCUUAGUGCUGCAGCUAACGCAUUAAGCACUCCGCCUGGGGAGUACGGUCGCAAGACUGAAACU
RNAcentral lists this ribosomal RNA (537 nucleotides) under uncultured bacterium. Its description in RNAcentral is "bacterial SSU rRNA". It matches the Rfam family "Bacterial small subunit ribosomal RNA", at positions 373 to 901 of the family's 1533-position model. The record is from RNAcentral.